CCUACGGGAGGCAGCAGUGGGGAAUAUUGCUCAAUGGGCGCAACCCUGAUGCAGCGAAGUCGCGUGAGUGAAGAAGUAAUUCGUUAUGUAAAGCUCUAUCAGCAGGGAAGCAAAUGACGGUACCUGAGUAAGUCGCCCCGGCUAACUACGUGCCAGCAGCCGCGGGAAUAAGUAGGGGGCCAGAGUUAUCCGGAUUUACUGGGUGUUAAGGGAGCGUAGACGGCAUUGCAAGUCUGGAGGGAAAGGCGGGGGCUCAAACCUCGGAGUGCUGUUGAAACUGGACGGCUUGAGUGAAGGAGAGGUAAGUGGAAUGCGUGGUGUAGCGGUGAAAUGCGUAGAUAUUAGGAGGAACUCCAGUGGCGAAGGCAGCUUACCGGAGUGUAACUGACGUUGAGGCUCGAAAGCGUGGGGAGCAAACAGGAUUAGAUACCCUAGUAGUC
Molecule: ribosomal RNA, 440 nt
Filed under: uncultured bacterium
Lineage: Bacteria
Description: partial 16S ribosomal RNA
Rfam family: Bacterial small subunit ribosomal RNA
Source: RNAcentral